RNAcentral lists this ribosomal RNA (332 nucleotides) under uncultured bacterium. Its description in RNAcentral is "bacterial SSU rRNA". It matches the Rfam family "Bacterial small subunit ribosomal RNA", at positions 462 to 793 of the family's 1533-position model. The record is from RNAcentral.
UAUUCAUUUGACGUUAGCUGCAGAAGAAGCACCGGCUAACUCCGUGCCAGCAGCCGCGGUAAUACGGAGGGUGCGAGCGUUAAUCGGAAUUACUGGGCGUAAAGCGCAUGCAGGUGGUUUGUUAAGUCAGAUGUGAAAGCCCGGGGCUCAACCUCGGAAUUGCAUUUGAAACUGGCAAACUAGAGUACUGUAGAGGGGGUAGAAUUUCAGGUGUAGCGGUGAAAAUGCGUAGAGAUCUGAAGGAAUACCGGUGGCGAAGGCGGCCCCCUGGACAGAUACUGACACUCAGAUGCGAAAGCGUGGGGAGCAAACAGGAUUAGAUACCCUGGUAG